Molecule: ribosomal RNA, 426 nt
Filed under: uncultured bacterium
Lineage: Bacteria
Description: bacterial SSU rRNA
Rfam family: Bacterial small subunit ribosomal RNA
Source: RNAcentral
UAAGGAAUAUUGGUCAAUGGGCGAAAGCCUGAACCAGCCAUGCCGCGUGGAGGAUGACGGUCCUCUGGAUUGUAAACUUCUUUUAUUUGGGACGAAAAAAGGGGAUUCUUCCUCACUUGACGGUACCAGAUGAAUAAGCACCGGCUAACUCCGUGCCAGCAGCCGCGGUAAUACGGAGGGUGCAAGCGUUAUCCGGAUUCACUGGGGUUUAAAGGGUGCGUAGGCGGGCAGGUAAGUCAGUGGUGAAAUCUUUGGGGCUUAACCCGAAAACUGCCAUUGAUACUAUCUGUCUUGAAUAUGGUGGAGGUGAGCGGAACAUGUCAUGUAGCGGUGAAAUGCUUAGAUAUGACAUAGAACACCCAUUGCGAAGGCAGCUCACUACACCUAUAUUGACGCUGAGGCACGAAAGCGUGGGGAUCAAACAGG